GACGAACGCUGGCGGCGCGCCUAACACAUGCAAGUCGAACGAGCGAGAGAGAGCUUGCUUUCUCGAGCGAGUGGCGAACGGGUGAGUAACGCGUGAGGAACCUGCCUCAAAGAGGGGGACAACAGUUGGAAACGACUGCUAAUACCGCAUAAGCCCACGACCCGGCAUCGGGUAGAGGGAAAAGGAGCAAUCCGCUUUGAGAUGGCCUCGCGUCCGAUUAGCUAGUUGGUGAGGUAACGGCCCACCAAGGCGACGAUCGGUAGCCGGACUGAGAGGUUGAACGGCCACAUUGGGACUGAGACACGGCCCAGACUCCUACGGGAGGCAGCAGUGGGGAAUAUUGCACAAUGGGGGAAACCCUGAUGCAGCGACGCCGCGUGGAGGAAGAAGGUCUUCGGAUUGUAAACUACUGUUGUUGAGGAAGAUAAUGACGGUACUCAACAAGGAAGUGACGGCUAACUACGUG
RNAcentral lists this ribosomal RNA (466 nucleotides) under uncultured bacterium. RNAcentral describes it as "partial 16S ribosomal RNA". It matches the Rfam family "Bacterial small subunit ribosomal RNA", at positions 28 to 507 of the family's 1533-position model. The record is from RNAcentral.